Molecule: ribosomal RNA, 481 nt
Filed under: uncultured bacterium
Lineage: Bacteria
Description: bacterial SSU rRNA
Rfam family: Bacterial small subunit ribosomal RNA
Source: RNAcentral
GAUGAACGCUGGCGGCGUGCUUAACACAUGCAAGUCGAACGAAGCACUUUGGAUAGAUUUCUUCGGAUUGAUAUCCUUGGUGACUGAGUGGCGGACGGGUGAGUAACGCGUGGGUAACCUGCCUCAUACAGGGGGAUAACAGUUAGAAAUGGCUGCUAAUACCGCAUAAGCGCACAGUACCACAUGGUACGGUGUGAAAAACUCCGGUGGUAUGAGAUGGACCCGCGUCUGAUUAGCUAGUUGGCAGGGUAACGGCCUACCAAGGCGACGAUCAGUAGCCGACCUGAGAGGGUGAUCGGCCACAUUGGGACUGAGACACGGCCCAAACUCCUACGGGAGGCAGCAGUGGGGAAUAUUGCACAAUGGGGGAAACCCUGAUGCAGCGACGCCGCGUGAAGGAAGACGUAUUUCGGUAUGUAAACUUCUAUCAGCAAGGAAGAUGAUGACGGUACUUGACUAAGAAGCCCCGGCUAACUACGUG